GCAGCCGCCGCGGGAAUACGUAGGAUGCAAGCGUUAAUCGGAAUUACUGGGCGUAAAGCGUGCGCAGGCGGUCCGCUAAGACAGAUGUGAAAUCCCCGGGCUUAACCUGGGAACUGCAUUUGUGACUGGCGGGCUAGAGUAUGGCAGAGGGGGGUAGAAUUCCACGUGUAGCAGUGAAACGCGUAGAGAUGUGGAGGAAUACCGAUGGCGAAGGCAGCCCCCUGGGCCAAUACUGACGCUCAUGCACGAAAGCGUGGGGAGCAAACAGGAUUAGAUACCCCCGUAGUCCCUGUCUCUUAUAC
RNAcentral lists this ribosomal RNA (302 nucleotides) under uncultured bacterium. Its description in RNAcentral is "partial 16S ribosomal RNA". It matches the Rfam family "Bacterial small subunit ribosomal RNA", at positions 508 to 807 of the family's 1533-position model. The record is from RNAcentral.